CUCGAACGGACCACUUCUCUCUUUCCAUUUUCCUCAUCUCUCCAGAAGCGAAGUUUGGUUUUCAGUUUUAGGAUUUCGAUCUGAAGAAGCGAAUUUAGGGUUUCAGCCUGAAAGUGAAGUUUGGGUUUCAAUCUGAAACUGAAGAUAUUGGUUCACGGACAUUCUCAUCUACGUCAUUGAGAGUGUUCAUGUGGAAGAAAUUUACAUCAAGUUUAAGUGGUGAAGACUACAAGUUGUUAAGGGUCGAUUGAUGUCGAACUAGGAGCUUCCCCAGUUUACUGCAUGAUCAGAAGUGUAUUCCAGAACAGUGGUGCCUGGAUAAUGCAUCCAUCGUAGAUGCUAACGAUAAUGGGCAGCUAGAAAAUGGGGCAUACAACUCAUGGGUUGUCUCUACAGUGACACAAGUGGAAGAAGUAAAAAUGGUAUUGAAACUCAUCCCAAUUUGGUCGACAUGUAUACUAUUCUGGACAGUAUAUUCUCAAAUGAAAACUUUAUCAGUUGAACAAGCAACUUUCAUGAACAGACAUAUCGGUUCAUUCGUUUUCCCAUCAGGAUCAUUUUCGGUGUUUCUCACUCUAACGACAUCCCUGAUCGUAUGCGAGGAUUUAAGUAUCCGAAAAGAGAGUGCGUCGAGAAAUGAUUCUUUAUCAUGCCCAAUUUUUUUUGAGCCACUAACAAGGAAGGGACCUCCAGGUUUAAACUUGGCUAGAUAUCAAGCCAAGAGAUCUCACGUUGCUCUGUCAAAAGG
Papaver somniferum (opium poppy) is the source of this 748-nucleotide long non-coding RNA. RefSeq lists it as uncharacterized. The transcript has 7 exons. Lineage: Eukaryota; Viridiplantae; Streptophyta; Magnoliopsida; Ranunculales; Papaveraceae. The record is from RefSeq and is a predicted model, not a curated record.